RNAcentral lists this ribosomal RNA (497 nucleotides) under uncultured bacterium. RNAcentral describes it as "partial 16S ribosomal RNA". It matches the Rfam family "Bacterial small subunit ribosomal RNA", at positions 28 to 507 of the family's 1533-position model. The record is from RNAcentral.
GAUGAACGCUGGCGGCGUGCCUAAUACAUGCAAGUCGAGCGAACAGACGAGGAGCUUGCUCCUCUGACGUUAGCGGCGGACGGGUGAGUAACACGUGGAUAACCUACCUAUAAGACUGGGAUAACUUCGGGAAACCGGAGCUAAUACCGGAUAAUAUAUUGAACCGCAUGGUUCAAUAGUGAAAGACGGUUUUGCUGUCACUUAUAGAUGGAUCCGCGCCGCAUUAGCUAGUUGGUAAGGUAACGGCUUACCAAGGCAACGAUGCGUAGCCGACCUGAGAGGGUGAUCGGCCACACUGGAACUGAGACACGGUCCAGACUCCUACGGGAGGCAGCAGUAGGGAAUCUUCCGCAAUGGGCGAAAGCCUGACGGAGCAACGCCGCGUGAGUGAUGAAGGUCUUCGGAUCGUAAAACUCGGUUAUUAGGGAAGAACAAAUGUGUAAGUAACCAUGCACGUCUUGACGGUACCUAAUCAGAAAGCCAUGGCUAACUACGUG